AAGGGGAAAACGGNGGUGGGCGNAAGGCGGCCCCCCUUGGACGNAAGACUGACGCUCAGGUUGCGAAAGCGUGGGGAGCNAAACAUUGUAUAAGAUNACCCUGGUAGNUCCACGCCGNUAAACGAUGUCCACUUGGAGGUUGUGCCCUUGAGGCGUGGCUUCCGGAGCUAACGCGNUUAAGUCGACCGCCUGGGGAGUACGGNCCGCAAGGNUUAAAACUCNAAAUGAAUUGACGGGGGCCCGCACAAGCNGGUGGAGCAUGUGGNUUUAAUUCGAUGCAACGCGAAGAACCUUACCUGGUCNUUGACAUCCACGGAAGUUUUCAGAGAUGAGAAUGUGCCUUCGGGAACCGUGAGACAGGUGCUGCAUGGCUGUCGUCAGCUCGUGUUGUGAAAUGUUGGGUUAAGUCCCGCAACGAGCGCAACCCUUAUCCUUUGUUGCCAGCGGUCCGGCCGGGAACUCAAAGGAGACUGCCAGUGAUAAACUGGAGGAAGGUGGGGAUGACGUCAAGUCAUCAUGGCCCUUACGACCAGGGCUACACACGUGCUACAAUGGCGCAUACAAAGAGAAGCGACCUCGCGAGAGCAAGCGGACCUCAUAAAGUGCGUCGUAGUCCGGAUUGGAGUCUGCAACUCGACUCCAUUGAAGUCGGAAUCGCUAGUAAUCGUGGAUCAGAUUGCCACGGUGAAUACGUUCCCGGGUCUUUGUACACACCGCCCCGUCACACCAUGGGAAAUGGGUUGGCAAAAGAAAUAAGUAGCUUAACCUUCCGGGAGGGCGCUUACCACUUUGGUGAUUCAUGACUGGGGUGAAGUCGUAACAAGGUAANCCNA
This 833-nucleotide ribosomal RNA is filed under the name uncultured Escherichia sp. RNAcentral describes it as "bacterial SSU rRNA". It matches the Rfam family "Bacterial small subunit ribosomal RNA", at positions 696 to 1504 of the family's 1533-position model. Lineage: Bacteria; Pseudomonadati; Pseudomonadota; Gammaproteobacteria; Enterobacterales; Enterobacteriaceae. The record is from RNAcentral.